GAGAACAAAGACAAGAUAACAGAUCACAAACGCUGCGCCUCUUCGGCACAAACCGAAAGUACCAAGUGGUGUCGAAGAGCGUAAGUCCCUCCGGCCAAAAAAACAAGGUGACGUAUCCCUCGGAUAUGUGUGGAAUCCCGAAGAAUCGGGCACUUAGGUCCCCUGGGACGUCUCCCAGGGUGGCAGGGGAGAAGUCUGAGUUCGUCAACUCCUUCUCGGGCUGCCCAAAGUACAAAGUGACCACGCGUGAUCAGACUAACGCUGCGCUCAAGAGACGUGGAAACAGACAUGCAGAGAUUCAAGAAAUAUGACAAUACGACAAGGAGCUCGAGCUGGCCAGCUUACCUCCCAGUAGGUCUUCCAGAAGUUCCUCGGGCAGGGAUUUGGGGCAGCAAGAACACCGGUCUCGGUGGGACCUCCAGAUGAAAGACCCUCCGUCCCCCUGUCCAAGGAAGAUCACUCGAAGACACUGGUUGCAAGAGCAAGAGGCUAUUUAUCGAUACACAGGCGCCUGCGGGUGCUCAGCAAAACCUCAGCCGGAGCUUCGGUGUGGUACAGGUUUUUUAUAGGGUAAAGGGGCAGGUUUCGCGCGCUCGAAAUUUUUGCUUGACAUCUUCAUGGUUCCUGCUUAUCAGUUCCUGUUUGUUCAGACGAUGAUCUGUGCUUUCCCAACCGCCCUGUUCUUUCUCAACCUGUUUAUCAGUUUAACGACCUCCGGCAUGCCUACCCCCGGAAUGCCUUCCAGUCAGUCCUCAGGGAUGGGCGAAGCCUGGCUCUGGAAUUAUAAAUUGGGCCACCACCUGAAUCUCGGCGCUUGGCACAGUGCCUGGCACACAGUGGGCUCCUAACAAAUGGUUUGAUUGCAAAAGAAGAGAAAGCGCCCUCGAGAGCGCAUCUGCUGAUGGCUCCCGGUGCAGAGCUGCAAAAGGCGGCGCAGGGGCGCAGGACUCGCCGGGGUCCAGCUGCGGGCCGGGACCGCCUCGGCCGCGCCAUCCCGGGCCCCGGCGGAGGGGGCGCUGCGGCGGGAGGCCGCGGCGGCGGCGGCGGCAGCGGGCCGGGGGCGGAGCGGCGGCGGGGCCGCCCCCAGCGAGCCAGCGAGCGAGCGCCGCGCGCGCCGCCGCCGCCACCUCCGCUGCUCGGCCCGGUCCCGGAGCGGCCCGGCCGGCCCGCGGGGCGCGGAGCCGAGGCCCGCGGCCGGCCGCAUGAAGGACUGCGAGUACCAGCAGAUCAGCCCCGGGGCCGCCCCGCCGCCCGCCUCCCCCGGGGCCGGCGCCCGCCGCGCCGCGCUGGAGCGGCAGCGGCAGCGGCAGCGGCAGCGGGAGCCUGGGCCGCCGCCCGCGGCGCAAGUGGGAGGUGUUCCCGGGCCGCAACCGCUUCUACUGCGGCGGCCGCCUCAUGCUGGCGGGCCACGGCGGCGUCUUUGCGCUCACGCUGCUGCUCAUCCUCAGCACCACUGUCCUCUUCUUCGUCUUCGAACAACACAGGCAGUUCCACAUACCGGCCGCCCCCUCGGACGCGGGAGGUGAUGAUCAAUGGGCAGAUGGUGAAGCUCAAGUACUGCUUCACCUGCAAGAUGUUUCGGCCGCCCCGGACCUCACACUGCAGCGUCUGCGACAACUGUGUGGAGCGGUUUGACCAUCACUGCCCCUGGGUGGGCAACUGUGUGGGGAGACGGAACUACCGCUUCUUCUAUGCGUUUAUUCUCUCCCUCUCAUUCCUGACGGCCUUCAUCUUCGCCUGCGUGGUCACUCACCUGACUCUGCGCUCUCAGAGAAGCAACUUCCUCUCCACUCUGAAGGAGACACCAGCAAGUGUGCUGGAGUUGGUGAUCUGCUUCUUCUCCAUCUGGUCCAUUCUGGGCCUCUCAGGGUUUCAUACUUACCUCGUCGCCUCCAACCUGACAACUAACGAGGACAUCAAAGGCUCAUGGUCCAGCAAGAGGGGCGGUGAGGCCUCUGUCAACCCCUACAGCCAUAAAAGUAUUAUCACCAACUGCUGUGCUGUGCUCUGUGGGCCCCUACCUCCCAGCCUGAUUGACCGGAGGGGAUUCGUGCAGUCUGACACCGUGUUGCCCUCGCCCAUCAGAAGUGAUGAGCCAGCCUGUGGAGCCAAGCCAGAUGCCAGCAUGUGACUCUGGCAAAAUUUGUACCAGAAGACAGAGCUGGAAUUUAAAACCCUCUUAAGGCCUGGAGCCAGGCCUUCACCGGAUCAAACUUCUAUUAUCAGCCAACUGUUGGUGAGCAUUUUGUUAAUUCGUGCAGACUGGAUGUGCUUCAGCACUGUGGGCUUUAGGACUCCCUCCCUCCUAAGCCUCUUUGUCAAGCUGGGAACCUUUCCAAGGACCUGUGAUCCCUGGUAAAAAACUGAAGUUCAAAGAGAUGAUACCCAAAACACACAGCAAGUCAGUGGCAGAGACAAAACUGGAACUCACAACUGUUUUUUUUUCCAAAGCAACCUGCCCCUGGCUCACUGUGUGACGUGAGGGCGUGACACCUGUCCUCCCUGUCUCAGUUGUUCCACCUGCAAAAUGGACCUGCUCAACCUGAGACGCACCCUGAGGUCCCACUGAGCCAUCUGAGAGAAGAUGCUGCGAAGGGCGCCAUGGUGCGUGCAGAGCUCCACCUGGCCUGGGCAGUCGAAGAGGAAGUAGUGGCCGCGGAGGGGGUCAAGCUUGGCCCGCAGCCAGUCCAAGUUGGCCUCCAGGUAUUCCAUGCAGUAAAGUAGGCCGCCGUUGGGUCCCAGCCUCAGCGCAUCCAUCACAUCGCCCAGUCCCACCAGCUCGCCCACGUCCACAGCGCACUCGUAAGGCAGCCCUUCGUUGGCCGGGUCCAAGUUCACCACUGCCACGCGCCGGCCCAGCGCGCGCAGGAACUCACUCAUGCCCAGGCAGUACGUGGUCUUUCCUGAGCCGGGAGGGCCGAUCACCGCCUGCCCGAAGGCCGUGGCCGGAGCGGCUCCCGCCAUGGGCAGUACGUGGACCAGAACCGAACAGGUGAGCCCAACGGGAAAACAGGGCGGACAGCCGCACGGGAGAUGUCGACAAGGGUGGGAGACCACCGGCGUGCUUUUCGCAGGGGAUGACGACCGCGACCCGAAAACCGGCGCCAGGAAAGGGAAGCAAACGGGCCGGCAUUGAUGGCUCCAGCUCCCGACUUCCGGACGGCGUCAGAAGCAGCGGGUCGGGGAGAGGAAGUCCCGCCCCACGGCAGUGACGCUUCCGGACUGGGCGUGGCCAUGGGACGGCCUUUCUCCGUGGGAGCGUGGGACUCCUUUGGGACUCCACCUGCCAGACCGCCUCAGUCCCGGUCCUCCGACUUUUCCCACCCCGAAUUAGAAGAGAAAGCGUCGUCCGGUCACAGACCUCUUUAUUCUCCCCUUACGUCGCAGGCCCCGGCCACCUCCCGCGGGCUCUCCGUUGCUGGGCCGCAGCCAGAGAGGGUACAGGCGGUGAAGGGUCCCGCCCAAGACCUUCUCUUCCAGGAACCACAACUCCUCUCCUUUUCGUCCUUUUGCCUGCUCUCUGCCCUCCAAGGAGGCGUCCUUCAGACCCCCAGGGAAGACUGUGCUGAUGGUCUCAGGCAGUCAGCGCAAGGUACUGCGCAAGCCCAAACAGGGACUAGGGGUAGGAGACUUCGGAGGAAAGGUCAUUAAGCCCUAAUAUCCAAGGAAUGGGGGCUGUAAAAAUGCCCUUGAGGUAGAGAAACGGCAGGCAGCCGGGGACUGCUGAUCCCAGAUUCCUUUCUGCUUCAGUAGUAGACAAGGCCCAGGCAGAGGGCUGUCAUCCUGCAAGAAAGCCUCCAACUCUCACUUAGGCUCUGAGGAGCUCUCCAAGGCACAGGUGGAACCCUUCACAAAGGCCAUGUCUGUCCGAAACUUCAUGCUGGUGGGUGGCUGACGUCGGAGCAGUGAUUCCCUCUGGUCCUGGGGUAGAGGCUCAUCAUAUAUGGUGGAGAUGAGUCCCAAGCCAGUUCUACGGGGUCUCUUCUGUUGUCCGAAUGGCUGUAGCUUCUCUCCAUGGUACCUGGAAAGAGUUUUCAAUAAGAGAGCUGCUCUCUCUCUCUCUGAAAACUCAGGAAAGGGGUUGGAAAAGGACAGGAAAAUCGCCACUACAUAUCUGUGUCAAAGACAGAGUUGCCUUUUUUUUU
This is an RNA transcript of Sciurus carolinensis (gray squirrel), 4145 nucleotides long. It is a transcript of the gene named zinc finger DHHC-type palmitoyltransferase 18, with no coding region annotated. NCBI's taxonomy places the organism in Eukaryota, Metazoa, Chordata, Mammalia, Rodentia, Sciuridae. The transcript has 13 exons. The record is from RefSeq and is a predicted model, not a curated record.